CCCUUAGAUGUUCUGGGCCGCACGCGCGCUACACUGACGGAGCCAACGAGUCUUUUCCUUGUCCGGAAGGACUGGGUAAUCUUGUGAAACUUCGUCGUGCUGGGGAUAGAGCAUUGCAAUUAUUGCUCUUCAACGAGGAAUUCCUAGUAAGCGUGAGUCAUCAGCUCGCGUUGAUUACGUCCCUGCCCUUUGUAUACACCGCCCGUCGCUACUACCGAUUGAAUGGCUUAGUGAGCCUUUGGGAUUGGCAGCUUGUACCGGCAACGGUAGCAGGCAGCCGAAAACUUAGGCAAACUUGGUCAUUUAGAGGAAGUAAAAGUCGUAACA
This 327-nucleotide ribosomal RNA is filed under the name uncultured eukaryote. Its description in RNAcentral is "partial 18S ribosomal RNA". It matches the Rfam family "Eukaryotic small subunit ribosomal RNA", at positions 1470 to 1796 of the family's 1831-position model. The record is from RNAcentral.